CCUACGGGUGGCAGCAGUGGGGAAUAUUGCACAAUGGGGGAAACCCUGAUGCAGCGACGCCGCGUGAGCGAUGAAGUAUUUCGGUAUGUAAAGCUCUAUCAGCAGGGAAGAAAAUGACGGUACCUGACUCAGAAGCCCCGGCUAACUACGUGCCAGCAGCCGUGGGAAUACGGAGGGGGCCAGCGUUAUCCGGAUUUACUGGGUGUAAAGGGAGCGUAGACGGCUGUGCAAGCCAGAUGUGAAAGCCCGGGGUUCAAACCCGGGACUGCAUUUGGAACUGGGUGGCUGGAGUGUCGGAGAGGCAGGCGGAAUUCCUAGUGUAGCGGUGAAAUGCGUAGAUAUUAGGAGGAACACCAGUGGCGAAGGCAGCCUGCUGGACGAUGACUGACGUUGAGGCUCGAAAGCGUGGGGAGCGAACAGGAUUAGAUACCCUUGUAGUC
This 440-nucleotide ribosomal RNA is filed under the name uncultured bacterium. RNAcentral describes it as "partial 16S ribosomal RNA". It matches the Rfam family "Bacterial small subunit ribosomal RNA", at positions 338 to 795 of the family's 1533-position model. The record is from RNAcentral.